This 322-nucleotide unclassified non-coding RNA is filed under the name plant metagenome. RNAcentral describes it as "partial contains 5.8S ribosomal RNA, internal transcribed spacer 2, and large subunit ribosomal RNA". The stretch from base 1 to 105 matches the Rfam family "5.8S ribosomal RNA", at positions 50 to 154 of the family's 154-position model. The record is from RNAcentral.
GAAAUGCGAUAAGUAAUGUGAAUUGCAGAAUUCCGUGAAUCAUCGAAUCUUUGAACGCACAUUGCGCCCUCUGGUAUUCCGGGGGGCAUGCCUGUCCGAGCGUCAUUGCGAACCCCUCAAGCACGGCUUGUGUGAUGGGCCCUCCCGCGUCUUGAUCGUCAAGACGGGCCCGAAAUGCAGUGGCGGCACCGUGUCCGGUCCUCGAGCGUAUGGGGCUUUGUCACCCGCUCGAUUAGGGCCGGCCGGGCGCCAGCCGGCGUCUCCAACCUUAUUUUUCUCAGGUUGACCUCGGAUCAGGUAGGGAUACCCGCUGAACUUAAGC